GACGAACGCUGGCGGCGUGCCUAAUACAUGCAAGUCGAGCGGAUGAAAGAGGAGCUCGCUCCUCUAGAUUCAGCGGCGGACGGGUGAGUAACACGUGGGCAACCUGCCCUGUAGAUUGGGAUAACUCCGGGAGACCGGGGCUAAUACCGAAUAAUCCUUCGGACCUCAUGGUCCGAUGUUGAACGACGGUUUCGGCUGUCACUACAGGAAGGGCCCGCGGCGCAUUAGCUAGUUGGUGAGGUAACGGCUCACCAAGGCCACGAUGCGUAGCCGGGCUGAGAGGGUGAUCGGACACACGGGGACUGAGACACGGCCAAGACUCCUACGGGAGACAGCAGUAGGGAAUCUGCCACGAUGUGCGAAAGUCUGAUGGAGCAACGCCGCGUGAGUGAAGAAGGUUCUCGGAUCGUAAAACUCUGUUGUGAGGGAAGAACAAGUACCGGAGUAACUGCCGGUGCCUUGACGGUACCUCAUUAGAAAGCCACGGCUAACUACGUGCCAGCCGCCGCAGUAA
Molecule: ribosomal RNA, 514 nt
Filed under: uncultured bacterium
Lineage: Bacteria
Description: partial 16S ribosomal RNA
Rfam family: Bacterial small subunit ribosomal RNA
Source: RNAcentral